This is a long non-coding RNA of Aphis gossypii (cotton aphid), 473 nucleotides long. RefSeq lists it as uncharacterized. Lineage: Eukaryota; Metazoa; Arthropoda; Insecta; Hemiptera; Aphididae. The record is from RefSeq and is a predicted model, not a curated record. The transcript has 2 exons.
AAACUACUACUAUUACUACUACUAUUACUCCUAUAUAUUUUACCCCCGUGUGUACUAUUGUCGACACCCUGACCUACUAAAAAAAUCGAACCAGAUCGGUUCGAUGUGUGCCUGAAAAAUGUUGUGCGUUUGUGCGACGUAUCGUGGUGUAAGCUGACUAACGAUGACGGCGACGAUACAAGUUUUGCAGUUAUAUAAAACACGUACAGCACGAGACAAUUACAUACUUAUGGCGUUGUUACAAAUAAAAACUCAUACAGUGGUUGGUGAACUGGCAAGUCGUCAUCAAUUGAAUACAAUAUAUACUAGUAAGAGGAGAUAUUCGAUUAAAGUCAACACCCGAAGAAUAUAUUAUUAAUACUGUUUUUUCUAAAAAAAUAUGAAAUGUUAUUCUAUACACCACGAAUCUUCAGUCGUAUACUAUUUCUAUGAUGAUAUAAAGGAAAAUUAAAAUAUAGUACUAUAACAUAUAA